AGUGAACGCUGGCGGCGUGCUUAACACAUGCAAGUCGAACGAGAACGGAUUAUAGCUUGCUAUAAUUGUCAGCUAAGUGGCGCACGGGUGAGUAAUGUAUAGGUAAUAUGCCUCUUACUAAGGGAUAACAAAUGUAAACGUUUGCUAAUACCUUAUACUCCUUAUUAACAGAAGUUAAUAAGGGAAAGAUUUAUUGGUAAGAGAUUAGCCUGUAUUGUAUCAGUUAGUUGGUGGGGUAAUGGCUUACCAAGACUAUGACACAUAACUGGUUUGUGAGGAGGAUCAGUCGCAAGGGAACUGACACACGGUCCAGACUCCUACGGGAGGCAGCAGUUGGGAAUAUUGCACAAUGGACGGAAGUCUGAUGCAGCAGCGCCGCGUGGAGGAUGACACAUUUCGGUGCGUAAACUCCUGUUAUAUGAGAAGAUAAUGACGGUAUUAUAUGAAUAAGCACCGGCUAACUCCGUGCCAGCCGCCGCCGUAA
This 484-nucleotide ribosomal RNA is filed under the name uncultured bacterium. RNAcentral describes it as "partial 16S ribosomal RNA". It matches the Rfam family "Bacterial small subunit ribosomal RNA", at positions 29 to 523 of the family's 1533-position model. The record is from RNAcentral.